AUAAUUGGAAGAAACCGACUGAAUUUAAGCAUAUUACUAAGUCGAGGACUAAAAAUCAAAAGAGAUUUCCCUAUUAGCGGCGAGCGAACAGGAAUAUGAUCAUAGCGCUAAUCCAACUGGAUAUUUGCGAACUAAUCAAACCUCCAAUUCAGCCACGGGAAAUCAAUUGAAUGUGAUGCCAUGGCGGAUGCAAGCUCCCCAACCGUGAAUGAAUUGCCGGUGAUUACUCAUAGAGUAGCGCUCCUUGAUAGUGGAGUGUGACAGGUGGUAAUCUUCACCGAAAUCUAAAUAUCAGCAGUAGACCGAUAGUAAACAAGUACCAUGAGGGAAAAUUGAAAAGCACUUCGAAAGGAGGCUUAAAAGACCUGAACUCAUAUACGAGGAAGCUUAUGUGUGUCGCAAAUAGUUGCUGAUCGUGCCUGGCACGCUCUCAUCUUUGACAUACAGAAGACCCGUCUUGAAACACGGACCGAGGAGUUGGUCUCAUUUGCAAGUAUAACGAUUAAAAUCGUGAUGCGUAGAGAAAUCAAUAUGUGUAAUCUUGACUGCACUGGCCGGGGAAACUCGUGUUUGAGCAGAUGUGAUCAGACCCGAAAGAUGGUGAUCUAUGCCUGGGUAGGGUGAAGCCAGGGGAAACUCUGGUGGAAGCUCUAAGCGAUACUGACGUGCAAAUCGUUCGUAAAAUCUAGGUAUAGGGGCGAAAGACUAAUCGAACCAUCUAGUAGCUGGUUCCCUCCGAAGUUUCCCUCAGGAUAGCUGGAAGCUAUUGAGUUGCAUCCGGUAAAGCGAAUGAUUAGAGGACUCGGGAGUCAUAGUAUUCUCGGCCUAUUCUCAAACUCAGAAUGGAUGUGCAUGUGUGCUUAUUAAUUUAGAACAUAUGACAAAUCAUGCUUCUUAGUGGGCCAUUUUUGGUAAGCAGAACUGGCGAUGAGGGAUGCUCCUAACGUGCGGCGAAGGUGCCAAAGGGUUGCUGAUCAGAUCCCACAAAAGGUGUUAUUUCAUUGAAACAGCAGGGCGGUGGUCAUGGAAGUCGAAAUCCGCUAAGGAGUGUGUAACAACUCACCUGCCGAAUGAAGCAGCCCUGAAAAUGGAUGGCGCUCAAGCAACUCACCGCUACCGCACCAGCAAUACAAUUCUAUUGCUGUGUAGGAGGGCGUGAAAAUAGCGUUGAAGAACAAUACGUGAGUUUGUUUGGAGCUGUUUUUAGUGCAGAUCUUGGUGUGAGUAGCAACUAGUCGUGUGGAAUACGUGACAACUGUCGUGGAUAAGGGUUCCGAGCAAACAGUAUUUGUCCUCGGGUCAGUCGGUCCUAAGGGGGAGUCUCAUUGGCUUUGAACAACACUUGUGUUGGCCCCAAAAGGGAAAAAGGUUAAAAUUCCUUUUCUUCAUCUCAAUGUAAAUGGCAACAUAAUAUCAAUUCACCUGUCAGGCGAUUCUCCUUGGAGCGUCUUCUCAGCUCUCUGAUAAUUGAAUGCUCACGAAUGGGAUUGACCCGCGACCGAGCUACACAAUUAAAUAGGUUUUCCUCACGGGAAAUUAGGUAGUAGUCGAAUGACCCGUGAAAAGUGGAUUGAAAUUAUUGAAAUGAACCCGUACCCUAAACCGCAUCAGGUCUCUCGGGUUAAUAGCCCCAAGUUUGAUAGGAGAAUGUGUGUGAGGGAAGUCGGCAAAUUAGAUCUGUAACUUUGGGAAAAAGGUUGGCUCUGGGAGUCAGUCCAUCAUGAUCCUACGGUGAUUGCUUGAACCUUACGGUUGUGGACAUAUUGACAACCCCAGAACUGGUGUUGACUAGAGGAAUCUGACUGUUUAAUUAAAACAAAGCAUUGCGAUAAGCCCCAAGGCUAUACACGCAAUGUGAUUUCUGCCCAGUGCUCUGAAUGUCAUUGUGAUGGAAUUCGUAUAAGCGCGGGUAAACGGCGGGAGUAACUAUGACUCUCUUAAGGUAGCCAAAUGCCUCGUCGUCUAAUUAAUGACGCGCAUGAAUGGAUCAACGAGAUUCCUACUGUCCCCACUCACCACCUAGCGAAACCACAGCCAAGGGAAUGGGCUUGGCAAAAUAAGCGGGGAAAGAAGACCCUGUUGAGCUUGACUCUAGUUUGAUUUUGUGGAGUGACUUAUGAGGCGUAGAAUACGUGGGAGCACUUGUGCGAGCUUGAAAUACCACGACUCUUAAUGUCGCUCUGCUUACCCGAUAAUAUGAAAACUGCAUUGCAGCAUGAAAUCUAAAGUCAUUUGAUGGUCGAUUCAUUGCGGGAACAGAAUCAGAUGGGGAGUUUGGCUGGGGCGGCACAUCUGCUAAACUGCAACGCAGAUGCCCUAAGGUUAACUCAAAGAGAACAGAAAUCUCUUGUAGACUGAAAGGGGAAAAGUUAGCUUGAUUCUGAUUUCCAGUAAUAAUAAGAACUGCGAAAGCAUGGCCUAUCGAUCCUUUAAGCCCAGGUUGAUUCUGGCUAGAGGUGACAGAAAAGUUACCACAGGGAUAACUGGCUUGUGGCAGCCAAGCGUUCAUAGCGACGUUGCUUUUUGAUCCUUCGAUGUCGGCUCUUCCUAUCAUUGAGACGCAGAAGUCCCAAAGUGUCGGAUUGUUCACCCGUUAAUAGGGAACGUGAGCUGGGUUUAGACCGUCGUGAGACAGGUUAGUUUUACCCUACUUAUAUACACGUCGCAAGAGUAGAGCAACCUAGUACGAGAGGAACAGUUGCUCCAAGUCACUGGUAGAGUGGUUGGCUGAGCAGCCAGUGCCGCUAAGCUACAUUUGAGGGAUAAUGGCUGAACGCCUCUAAGCCAAAACCCCAGCUUGAAGCGACGUUUGAUCUUACUUCCAUUGAAUUUAAUUGAUACAUAACGGAAGUUGAUCUAUGUAUGACUGAUAGACGAUCGG
Molecule: ribosomal RNA, 2881 nt
Filed under: Diabrotica virgifera virgifera (western corn rootworm)
Lineage: Eukaryota; Metazoa; Arthropoda; Insecta; Coleoptera; Chrysomelidae
Description: eukaryotic LSU rRNA
Rfam family: Eukaryotic large subunit ribosomal RNA
Source: RNAcentral